RNAcentral lists this long non-coding RNA (1173 nucleotides) under Lupinus mutabilis. RNAcentral describes it as "partial ncRNA". The record is from RNAcentral. Lineage: Eukaryota; Viridiplantae; Streptophyta; Magnoliopsida; Fabales; Fabaceae.
AUAAAUUACAAUAGUUAUAGUUGUAAGAAUAAAAUAUGUUUUUUAUAUAAGUUGAAGAAACAAAUUCAAAAAGCGAAAAGCAAAUAGAGGAAGAGAGUUUGUUUUCAUUGAAAUCAUUAUGUAUAAACAAUCAAGCGCGGUGUACCCCUUGUUCGAUCUGGAACAAGUUCUUCAUUCCAAAAAGGUUUCGUUUUUACCAUUCAUUUCUCUCUUUCAUUUCUUUCCAAUAUGAUCAUGAUUACUUUUUAAUUACUACUACUUUCAUUUCAAUUUCUUCAUCCCUAAUUCUCUCUGCUCCAAUUCAUUGUUUCUUUACUCAUUUUUCACUAGAUUCUGGAGUUUUUAUAUUUUGGCCAAUGUCAUGUCAAAUUAGGGUUUUCUCUUAAUUAGGUUUUUCGGAACAAUGGUAAGGAUGCUCAAGAUGUUGGUGAUAAUAAUGAGAGAGUCAUGUAACUAUGGUCAAGAUGCUUUGUAUACAUUUCAUUGAAACUGGAUUUGAUGUUUGUUGUUGCCUAAUUAGUUAUUAUCAUUGAAUGUGUUUCUGUUUUGUUUUUAUUUUUAGGAAACAUUGAAAUUGACUCCCGAGGAAGCAAAUAUUUGGCUAUCAUGGAAAGCCAAAGCUAGGAGGAAUUUCACCGUCGGUGCCGUCAGUGGGGGUGCUGCCGUAUGGGCAGCUAGUGGGAAACUCAAUGGCCCAUUUCGAAUGUUCCUCUCAUCAGGAGUUGGUGUUUCCUUUGGAACAUGGAUAUUGGUUAGAUCCAUGUAUUCUUUCGCAGAGAAGAUUCUUGAAAUGGAUGGGAGUACACUACAGAAGGAGUUAGCGAAUAUAAUGAUGACUAAGUACCAGAAUGAACCUUCACUAAGGCCACUUAUGUCCAAGCAUUUUUAUUCAGAGAGGAUUUUUGAUGAUUCAACCUCUAAAAAUCCUAACUUCAGAUGGCGGUUCCGUAAUUUCUUUAGCGAUAAUGCAAUCCAUGACCAUAGGACACAUGAUAAUGACUAUUAUGAUGAUACCCAAGUGGACUCAAAUAGCGAUCCUGUUAAAAAUUCCCAAGGUGAGUCUGAAAAUGUCAAUGACAGCAGAAAGACAAAUCUGGAGACUAAGCACAAUUUUACAAAAGCUGGUCCUGAUAACAUGACAGAGCUAGACCCUCUUGAUUUUCUUUUUGGUUA